This 368-nucleotide unclassified non-coding RNA is filed under the name soil metagenome. Its description in RNAcentral is "partial contains 5.8S ribosomal RNA, internal transcribed spacer 2, and large subunit ribosomal RNA". The stretch from base 1 to 120 matches the Rfam family "5.8S ribosomal RNA", at positions 35 to 154 of the family's 154-position model. The record is from RNAcentral.
GAUGAAGAACGUAGCGAAAUGCGAUAAGUAAUGUGAAUUGCAGAAUUCAGUGAACCAUCGAAUCUUUGAACGCACAUUGCGCCCGGCAGUAAUCUGCCGGGCAUGCCUGUCCGAGCGUCAUUUCUGCCCUCGAGCGAGUCCAGCAUCUAGGUGCUGGGCCCGCCCGGCGUUGGGGCACUACGGGAAGCCCUGUGCUGUCCCCCGUAGGCCCCGAAAUGAAGUGGCGGUCCUGCCGCGGCGCCCCCUGCGUAGUAUAACAGCUCGCCUCGGGACCCGGUGGAGGCCUGCCGUCAAACCUUACUCUCUAAGUUUGACCUCGGAUCAGGUAGGGUUACCCGCUGAACUUAAGCAUAUCAAUAAGCGGAGGA